RNAcentral lists this ribosomal RNA (497 nucleotides) under uncultured bacterium. RNAcentral describes it as "partial 16S ribosomal RNA". It matches the Rfam family "Bacterial small subunit ribosomal RNA", at positions 28 to 507 of the family's 1533-position model. The record is from RNAcentral.
GAUGAACGCUGGCGGCGUGCCUAAUACAUGCAAGUCGAGCGAACAGACGAGGAGCUUGCUCCUCUGACGUUAGCGGCGGACGGGUGAGUAACACGUGGAUAACCUACCUAUAAGACUGGGAUAACUUCGGGAAACCGGAGCUAAUACCGGAUAAUAUAUUGAACCGCAUGGUUCAAUAGUGAAAGACGGUUUUGCUGUCACUUAUAGAUGGAUCCGCGCCGCAUUAGCUAGUUGGUAAGGUAACGGCUUACCAAGGCAACGAUGCGUAGCCGACCUGAGAGGGUGAUCGGCCACACAGGAACUGAGACACGGUCCAGACGCAUACGGGAGGCAGCAGUAGGGAAUCUACCGCAAUGGGCGAAAGCCUGACGGAGCAACGCCGCGUGAGUGAUGAAGGUCUUCGGAUCGUAAAACUCUGUUAUUAGGGAAGAACAAAUGUGUAAGUAACUAUGCACGGCUUGACGGUAACUAAUCAGAAAGCCACGGCUAACUACGUG